Molecule: non-coding RNA, 170 nt
Filed under: bovine gut metagenome
Source: RNAcentral
UAUGGUCCUAUCCAUACAGGUGCAAGGGAAUCCGCGUGAAAGACCGGAGCUGUUCCUGCAGCUGUAAUCUCCAAAUAGAUGCCUUGCCACCGCAAGUGUCACUGUCUGACUCGCACAGAUGGGAAGACCUGGCAAGGACGGAGUAAGCCAGAAUACCUGCCAAAUGUUAU